UGUGUGUUAGUGGAAGCGUCUGGAAAGGCGCGCGAUACAGGGUGACAGCCCCGUACACAAAAAUGCACAUGCUGUGAGCUCGAUGAGUAGGGCGGGACACGUGGUAUCCUGUCUGAAUAUGGGGGGACCAUCCUCCAAGGCUAAAUACUCCUGACUGACCGAUAGUGAACCAGUACCGUGAGGGAAAGGCGAAAAGAACCCCGGCGAGGGGAGUGAAAAAGAACCUGAAACCGUGUACGUACAAGCAGUGGGAGCACGCUUAGGCGUGUGACUGCGUACCUUUUGUAUAAUGGGUCAGCGACUUAUAUUCUGUAGCAAGGUUAACCGAAUAGGGGAGCCGAAGGGAAACCGAGUCUUAACUGGGCGUUAAGUUGCAGGGUAUAGACCCGAAACCCGGUGAUCUAGCCAUGGGCAGGUUGAAGGUUGGGUAACACUAACUGGAGGACCGAACCGACUAAUGUUGAAAAAUUAGCGGAUGACUUGUGGCUGGGGGUGAAAGGCCAAUCAAACCGGGAGAUAGCUGGUUCUCCCCGAAAGCUAUUUAGGUAGCGCCUCGUGAAUUCAUCUCCGGGGGUAGAGCACUGUUUCGGCAAGGGGGUCAUCCCGACUUACCAACCCGAUGCAAACUGCGAAUACCGGAGAAUGUUAUCACGGGAGACACACGGCGGGUGCUAACGUCCGUCGUGAAGAGGGAAACAACCCAGACCGCCAGCUAAGGUCCCAAAGUCAUGGUUAAGUGGGAAACGAUGUGGGAAGGCCCAGACAGCCAGGAUGUUGGCUUAGAAGCAGCCAUCAUUUAAAGAAAGCGUAAUAGCUCACUGGUCGAGUCGGCCUGCGCGGAAGAUGUAACGGGGCUAAACCAUGCACCGAAGCUGCGGCAGCGACGCUGAUGCGUUGUUGGGUAGGGGAGCGUUCUGUAAGCCUGUGAAGGUGUGCUGUGAGGCAUGCUGGAGGUAUCAGAAGUGCGAAUGCUGACAUAAGUAACGAUAAAGCGGGUGAAAAGCCCGCUCGCCGGAAGACCAAGGGUUCCUGUCCAACGUUAAUCGGGGCAGGGUGAGUCGACCCCUAAGGCGAGGCCGAAAGGCGUAGUCGAUGGGAAACAGGUUAAUAUUCCUGUACUUGGUGUUACUGCGAAGGGGGGACGGAGAAGGCUAUGUUGGCCGGGCGACGGUUGUCCCGGUUUAAGCGUGUAGGCUGGUUUUCCAGGCAAAUCCGGAAAACUAAGGCUGAGGCGUGAUGACGAGGCACUACGGUGCUGAAGCAACAAAUGCCCUGCUUCCAGGAAAAGCCUCUAAGCAUCAGGUAACAUCAAAUCGUACCCCAAACCGACACAGGUGGUCAGGUAGAGAAUACCAAGGCGCUUGAGAGAACUCGGGUGAAGGAACUAGGCAAAAUGGUGCCGUAACUUCGGGAGAAGGCACGCUGAUAUGUAGGUGAAGUCCCUCGCGGAUGGAGCUGAAAUCAGUCGAAGAUACCAGCUGGCUGCAACUGUUUAUUAAAAACACAGCACUGUGCAAACACGAAAGUGGACGUAUACGGUGUGACGCCUGCCCGGUGCCGGAAGGUUAAUUGAUGGGGUCAGCGCAAGCGAAGCUCUUGAUCGAAGCCCCGGUAAACGGCGGCCGUAACUAUAACGGUCCUAAGGUAGCGAAAUUCCUUGUCGGGUAAGUUCCGACCUGCACGAAUGGCGUAAUGAUGGCCAGGCUGUCUCCACCCGAGACUCAGUGAAAUUGAACUCGCUGUGAAGAUGCAGUGUACCCGCGGCAAGACGGAAAGACCCCGUGAACCUUUACUAUAGCUUGACACUGAACAUUGAGCCUUGAUGUGUAGGAUAGGUGGGAGGCUUUGAAGUGUGGACGCCAGUCUGCAUGGAGCCGACCUUGAAAUACCACCCUUUAAUGUUUGAUGUUCUAACGUUGACCCGUAAUCCGGGUUGCGGACAGUGUCUGGUGGGUAGUUUGACUGGGGCGGUCUCCUCCUAAAGAGUAACGGAGGAGCACGAAGGUUGGCUAAUCCUGGUCGGACAUCAGGAGGUUAGUGCAAUGGCAUAAGCCAGCUUGACUGCGAGCGUGACGGCGCGAGCAGGUGCGAAAGCAGGUCAUAGUGAUCCGGUGGUUCUGAAUGGAAGGGCCAUCGCUCAACGGAUAAAAGGUACUCCGGGGAUAACAGGCUGAUACCGCCCAAGAGUUCAUAUCGACGGCGGUGUUUGGCACCUCGAUGUCGGCUCAUCACAUCCUGGGGCUGAAGUAGGUCCCAAGGGUAUGGCUGUUCGCCAUUUAAAGUGGUACGCGAGCUGGGUUUAGAACGUCGUGAGACAGUUCGGUCCCUAUCUGCCGUGGGCGCUGGAGAACUGAGGGGGGCUGCUCCUAGUACGAGAGGACCGGAGUGGACGCAUCACUGGUGUUCGGGUUGUCAUGCCAAUGGCACUGCCCGGUAGCUAAAUGCGGAAGAGAUAAGUGCUGAAAGCAUCUAAGCACGAAACUUGCCCCGAGAUGAGUUCUCCCUGACUCCUUGAGAGUCCUGAAGGAACGUUGAAGACGACGACGUUGAUAGGCCGGGUGUGUAAGCGCAGCGAUGCGUUGAGCUAACCGGUACUAAUGAACCGUGAGGCUUAACCUUACAACGCCGAAGCUGUU
Molecule: ribosomal RNA, 2636 nt
Filed under: Escherichia coli
Lineage: Bacteria; Pseudomonadati; Pseudomonadota; Gammaproteobacteria; Enterobacterales; Enterobacteriaceae
Description: partial 23S ribosomal RNA
Rfam family: Bacterial large subunit ribosomal RNA
Source: RNAcentral